CGGAGGAUCCAAGCGUUAUCCGGAAUCAUUGGGUUUAAAGGGUCCGUAGGCGGUUUAGUAAGUCAGUGGUGAAAGCCCAUCGCUCAACGGUGGAACGGCCAUUGAUACUGCUAGACUUGAAUUAUUAGGAAGUAACUAGAAUAUGUAGUGUAGCGGUGAAAUGCUUAGAGAUUACAUGGAAUACCAAUUGCGAAGGCAGGUUACUACUAAUGGAUUGACGCUGAUGGACGAAAGCGUGGGUAGCGAACAGGAUUAGAUACCCUGGUAGUCCACGCCGUAAACGAUGGAUACUAGCUGUUCGGAGCAAUCUGAGUGGCUAAGCGAAAGUGAUAAGUAUCCCACUGGGGAGUACGUUCGCAAGAAUG
Molecule: ribosomal RNA, 365 nt
Filed under: uncultured organism
Description: bacterial SSU rRNA
Rfam family: Bacterial small subunit ribosomal RNA
Source: RNAcentral